UACGAGGGGGGCGAGCGUUGUUCGGAAUUAUUGGGCGUAAAGGGCGCGUAGGCGGUCGGAUAAGUCUUGUGUGAAAUCUUCGGGCUCAACUCGAAGUCUGCACAGGAAACUAUCUGGCUUGAGUGUGGGAGAGGUGAGUGGAAUUCCCAGUGUAGAGGUGAAAUUCGUAGAUAUUCGCAAGAACACCAGUGGCGAAGGCGGCUCACUGGCCCGGUACUGACGCUGAGGUGCGAAAGCGUGGGGAGCAAACAGG
This 253-nucleotide ribosomal RNA is filed under the name uncultured bacterium. Its description in RNAcentral is "partial 16S ribosomal RNA". It matches the Rfam family "Bacterial small subunit ribosomal RNA", at positions 524 to 776 of the family's 1533-position model. The record is from RNAcentral.